Molecule: ribosomal RNA, 468 nt
Filed under: uncultured bacterium
Lineage: Bacteria
Description: partial 16S ribosomal RNA
Rfam family: Bacterial small subunit ribosomal RNA
Source: RNAcentral
GACGAACGCUGGCGGCGUGCUUAACACAUGCAAGUCGAACGGAGAGACCAGAGCUUGCUCUUCUGCUCGAGUGGCGAACGGGUGAGUAACACGUGAGUAAUCUGCCCUACACUCUGGGAUAAGCCCUGGAAACUGCGUCUAAUACCGGAUACGACACAGCGCUGCAUGGCUACUUGCUGAAAAUUUUUUCGGUCUGGGAUGGUCUCGCGGCCUAUCAGCUUGUUGGUGGGUUAGGGGCUCACCAAGGCAACGACGGGUAGCCGGCCUGAGAGGGUGACCGGCCACACUGGGACUGAGACACGGCCCAGACUCCUACGGGAGGCAGCAGUGGGGAAUAUUGCACAAUGGGCGAAAGCCUGAUGCAGCGACGCCGCGUGAGGGAUGACGGCCUUCGGGUUGUAAACCUCUUUCAGCAGGGAAGAAGCGUAAGUGACGGUACCUGCAGAAGAAGCACCGGCUAACUACGUG